Daphnia carinata is the source of this 469-nucleotide long non-coding RNA. RefSeq lists it as uncharacterized. The transcript is spliced from 3 exons. NCBI's taxonomy places the organism in Eukaryota, Metazoa, Arthropoda, Branchiopoda, Diplostraca, Daphniidae. The record is from RefSeq and is a predicted model, not a curated record.
AAAAUCACUUUUUUCUUUUUUUUCCGACACGUAGCCAUCUACCGCUCAGACUCGUUAUUACUGGCAUGUAGGCAAUUUCAGUCCAUUGAAUGCCAUUCGCAGUCAGUUGAAUAGCGUGGGUGGAGAAUAACGUGUGGCUGGAGAAAAAUAUGUUGAAAUGGAUAAGAUAAUAAAAGAUAAGGAUGCUCUAAUUAUGAACCUGCAGGCUCAAUUAUUGUUCGUAAUCAGUCCAUGCAGCGAUGGAACUGAACAAUUGUGGGACUGUAUUUGGGCCGAAAAUGGGUUUGGUACGGAAACACAGAAAUGGCAUGAGUUCAACAUCAAACAUGGAUUAGAAUUUUAGCGGGGGAUCAAGUUAAGUCUGGAAGUGUUACAGGAUGGAAGAGUGAGCCUACAGUUGAAAAAACGCUGAGAGUGCAUUACCAUUAAGGUAUGAGGUAAAGUAAUAGAGUAAUGCAACUUGUCUAAU